AGUGAACGCUGGCGGUAGACCUAACACAUGCAAGUCGAACGGCAGCACAGUAAGAGCUUGCUCUUACGGGUGGCGAGUGGCGGACGGGUGAGGAAUACAUCGGAAUCUACUUUUUCGUGGGGGAUAACGUAGGGAAACUUACGCUAAUACCGCAUACGACCUACGGGUGAAAGCAGGGGAUCUUCGGACCUUGCGCGAUUGAAUGAGCCGAUGUCGGAUUAACUAGUUGGCGGGGUAAAGGCCCACCAAGGCGACGAUCCGUAGCUGGUCUGAGAGGAUGAUCAGCCACACUGGAACUGAGACACGGUCCAGACUCCUACGGGAGGCAGCAGUGGGGAAUAUUGGACAAUGGGCGCAAGCCUGAUCCAGCCAUACCGCGUGGGUGAAGAAGGCCUUCGGGUUGUAAAGCCCUUUUGUUGGGAAAGAAAAGCAGCAGGUUAAUACCCCGCUGUUCUGACGGUACCCAAAGAAUAAGCACCGGCUAACUUCGUG
Molecule: ribosomal RNA, 492 nt
Filed under: uncultured bacterium
Lineage: Bacteria
Description: partial 16S ribosomal RNA
Rfam family: Bacterial small subunit ribosomal RNA
Source: RNAcentral